This 24-nucleotide microRNA is filed under the name Ananas comosus (pineapple). RNAcentral describes it as "microRNA s1064_c134a". The record is from RNAcentral. Lineage: Eukaryota; Viridiplantae; Streptophyta; Magnoliopsida; Poales; Bromeliaceae.
CCAUCGUUGAGCAGUUGUCACAGA